Molecule: ribosomal RNA, 484 nt
Filed under: uncultured bacterium
Lineage: Bacteria
Description: partial 16S ribosomal RNA
Rfam family: Bacterial small subunit ribosomal RNA
Source: RNAcentral
AUUGAACGCUGGCGGCAGGCCUAACACAUGCAAGUCGAGCGGAUGAAGGGAGCUUGCUCCUGGAUUCAGCGGCGGACGGGUGAGUAAUGCCUAGGAAUCUGCCUGGUAGUGGGGGCUAACGUCCGGAAACGGGCGCUAAUCUCGCAUACGUUCUGAGGGAGAAAGUGGGGGAUCUUCGGACCUCACGCUAUCAGAUGAGCCUAGGUCGGAUUAGCUAGUUGGUGGGGUAAAGGCCUACCAAGGCGACGAUCCGUAACUGGUCUGAGAGGAUGAUCAGUCACACUGGAACUGAGACACGGUCCAGACUCCUACGGGAGGCAGCAGUGGGGAAUAUUGGACAAUGGGCGAAAGCCUGAUCCAGCCAUGCCGCGUGUGUGAAGAAGGUCUUCGGAUUGUAAAGCACUUUAAGUUGGGAGGAAGGGCAGUAAGUUAAUACCCUGCUGUUUUGACGUUACCAACAGAAAAAGCACCGGCUAACUUCGUG